Molecule: ribosomal RNA, 446 nt
Filed under: uncultured bacterium
Lineage: Bacteria
Description: partial 16S ribosomal RNA
Rfam family: Bacterial small subunit ribosomal RNA
Source: RNAcentral
CCUACGGGAGGCAGCAGUCGAGAAUCAUUCACAAUGGGGGAAACCCUGAUGGUGCGACGCCGCGUGGGGGAAUGAAGGUCUUCGGAUUGUAAACCCCUGUCAUGUGGGAGCAAAUUAAAAAGAUAGUACCACAAGAGGAAGAGACGGCUAACUCUGUGCCAGCAGCCGCGGUAAUACAGAGGUCUCAAGCGUUGUUCGGAAUCACUGGGCGUAAAGCGUGCGUAGGCUGUUUCGUAAGUCGUGUGUGAAAGGCGCGGGCUCAACCCACGGACGGCACAUGAUACUGCGAGACUAGAGUAAUGGAGGGGGAACCGGAAUUCUCGGUGUAGCAGUGAAAUGCGUAGAUAUCGAGAGGAACACUCGUGGCGAAGGCGGGUUACUGGACAUUAACUGACGCUGAGGCACGAAGGCCAGGGGAGCGAAAGGGAUUAGAUACCCGGGUAGUC